This 503-nucleotide ribosomal RNA is filed under the name uncultured bacterium. Its description in RNAcentral is "bacterial SSU rRNA". It matches the Rfam family "Bacterial small subunit ribosomal RNA", at positions 29 to 507 of the family's 1533-position model. The record is from RNAcentral.
AACGAACGCUGGCGGCGUGGAUAAGGCAUGCAAGUCGAACGGGCGACCCGCUUUCGGGUGGGAAGCUAGUGGCGAACGGGUGAGUAACACGUGGGUAAUCUGCCUUCGGAUGGGGGAUAACAUCGGGAAACCGGUGCUAAUACCGCGUAACAUUCAGGAUUCGCAUGUUUCCUGGAUCAAAGGUGGGGAUCUUUCGGGACCUACCGUCUGAAGAGGAGCCCGCGGUCGAUUAGCUUGUUGGUGAGGUAAAAGCUCACCAAGGCGACGAUCGAUAGCCGACCUGAGAGGGUGACCGGCCACACUGGGACUGAGAUACGGCCCAGACUCCUACGGGGGCAGCAGUCUAGAAGCUUCGGCAAUGGGGGAAACCCUGACCGAGCGACGCCGCGUGCAGGACGAAGGUCUUCGGAUCGUAAGCUGCUUUCGCUGGGGGAGAAAUGCUCCGGGGUGAAUAAUUCCGGGGUUAGACGGUACCCAGUAAAGAAGCUCCGGCUAAGUCCGUG